Molecule: long non-coding RNA, 943 nt
Filed under: Arabidopsis lyrata
Lineage: Eukaryota; Viridiplantae; Streptophyta; Magnoliopsida; Brassicales; Brassicaceae
Description: long non-coding RNA (ALYR_LNC001894)
Source: RNAcentral
AGGUUUGACAUCAGCAAGGGUGGUGAAUGCUAGCUCAGCUGCCAUUUUCUUAGUGGGAUUGUGUAGAGAAAGAGUGAAAGCUUGAGAAGGUGAGUUUAACAUAACAUUGGAUCAUAUAUUUAUACUAAUCGAAAUACGGCUAUAAUUUUCUAGGUUUUAGAGAAUUAUCGGGGAAGAGGAUAAAUGCGAAUAGAAUAUUUUAGGUAUAUAAUUGAUAUUAUGCUAUUUUUUGGGUAUGAUUUAGAACAAAUAUGGAUUUGAAAAGAUUUUAUGAUUUUAAAUAUAAAAAAAAAGGAAGUUAAUUGUUUUCGUUUAUAUGGAAAGAUUUUUUCAGCACAAGGAAAUUAUUUAAUUGCAUUUUAAUUGAUAGCAUCCCGGAGAUUUUGUGAUGAUUUAGAAAUUAUAUGGAGUUGUUUGGAUUUGGAAAAUUUUUGUAUCUUUGAUUAUGCAAAAUUUAAGUUGUGAUUGAUAUGGAAAUAGAUUUGAUUACGUGUUAUAAUAUUAGAAUAAGUUUAUCCUUAAUCGGGUUGAUUACGUGAUUACGGAAUAUUUUUGAAUAGGGUUGUUAUAUAGAAUAAAUGAUUUUCCGAAUUUUAAGUUGUGCUUGAUAUAAAAAUAGAUUUAUUUACGUGUUAUCUAACUAAUUUUCUGUUUAAUGUUUGUAGAUAUGUUACAUAAGGCCUGAUAUUAACAAUGGGCCAAUUAACAUAAAGCCCAGUUGUGUUUUACCGCAGAUGUAUCAGCGAUCCGUCUCAUUUACCAGAUAGAUAUCCGAUUCAAUCUCCAAGAUCCGCGUCCUUUUGAGUCCCAAUUGUCAAUUAUACCCCUCGACGAAAUUCUGUGUUUUCACUUGAAAUACUAAAAUUCUAAUGGCAUCUAUUGUAAUUAUUUACCCUUAGUGAGGUUAGAUAUUAUGUAAUCCUUCCCAAUUAAUAGAAUAGAU